This 226-nucleotide long non-coding RNA is filed under the name Carica papaya (papaya). RNAcentral describes it as "long non-coding RNA (CPAP_LNC000490)". The record is from RNAcentral. Lineage: Eukaryota; Viridiplantae; Streptophyta; Magnoliopsida; Brassicales; Caricaceae.
UAUUGAUAUAUAAAUACAUGAUUUAAAGUAGAUAUAUUGUAUUAAAAUAACUAAUCACAUUAUUGUAAAGUAUAGUCGAUAUUUUUGUGUAACGUAACUUUUUACCUUAUGUGUGGUGAUAAACUUUUAUCAUUAUCUCAAUAAAAUUGUCUUUUUAACUUUAAAAAUAAUGACGAAUAAGUUCUUUAGCGCAUGGAUUAAAAUUAAAAAGUUAAUUUUAAUACAG